GUCUCCUGUGGUACAGUUUAUCACUUGUUUUGCUCGCUCUCAUUUGCGUAAGCAUCUCUCGGGUCCCAUAGUGACUGUUGUCAGGGGCGACAGUCGCGACGUCGCCUCGCACUGAUCCAAGAAACCACCAGGUGAAAGUAAACUGCAUCAGGAAAGAUAAAGUUGAGGAGGGGAAAAAAGAGCCAUUUGCACCUCCACAAAUGAGAGUACUCCAGGAAGUCCAUUAAUUGAAGCGGUUCAGGGAAAGCAGCUGCUUAUCGGAGCAUUUAAAGGCAAGUGAGCGAGUCGGAGCGGCUUCAGCAAGAUAAAUGUGAAUUUACUUGCAGAGCCUGACAGCUUUCGACCCGGUCCUGGAUUCGGACUGUUUAGAAAUUCACUAGAGAUUCUUGGGCCUCAGCUGAGAGCUGAGUACAAUUUUUCCUUAAUUAUAUAUUUUUUCUUCUUUCAAGGCUGUCUUACACAUUUAGCAAGUUUAAGAAUCCAACGAACCAUACACUGAUAAAGCACAAUUUGAAUUGGGCUGAGGAUCAAAUGUGCUGAAGCAUGGCAAACUAUUGCCUUUUGUCCUGUGAACAAGCUUUUGAAACCAUCAAAUAUUAAAUACUUUUCUCUCUGCUACCGGACCUAGAUACUCAUACUGCUUGAACAACUUAAAGAAAAAAAAUCACGAUGUGACUGCCCUGAACUGAGCUGUCUGUACCAACUAUACCAACAAAUCCCCUCAGAAAAACACACAAGAAACUCAGAUGCAUGGAAAAUAUUCAAAAAUAUUAGUUUGGUUUCAUCAUUUGUUUAUCCUCAUUUUGCUAGUCGAACAACAGAUAUUUCUUCACUCGUGAUCAAGUCUAAAGGUUUCUGCUGCAGCUCCUGACAUUUAAGCCUGAAUAUUUCAUCAUUAUGAUGCAUUAUUGGGUAAAAAAUGUCAGUGUGAUCCUGCCCACCACACCACAGUCAUGCAGUUCAAUCUUCAGCAGGAGAAUCAGACAGGACCACAGGGCUUUCUGUCAGCCAUCUGGAUUAUUUUACGAGAAACAGGAGAGGUUUGUCAGCUCACUCUUCAGUUCAGUGUAAUGGCAAGCAGGAGGCCAGUCUUAAAUGUGAUCGCAAAUCAUUCACUGUUUAUAUGCAAACUAAGUCUGCAUCUGAUCAACAGGAUGAUAAAGGUAUAUGGUUUUAUUUUAGUCGCACAAUUCAUGAACUUUAAUUAUUCUGUUCUGUAUAUCAUUAGUGGUUUUAGGGAAUUGUGAAAUUGUUAGAAUGAUAAUGCUUGUCUAAAAAAAGCAAAAUGCUUCACAAAAAAAUGUGUCACUUUCACAAAAACACUUUAAAAAUGAGCUUUUUAGGCUAUUUGAAAAUAAAAUUUAGCAAAACUUCAAGUCACAUGGUUUAAAUAAAGGUCAAAUGUUAAAUGAAAACACCAGUGCUCAACUUGUAAAUGAAUAAUUUCCAGAAUAAAACCAGGAAAUAAAGGUUAUCGUGACCAACUUCCA
Danio rerio (zebrafish) is the source of this 1490-nucleotide non-coding RNA. NCBI's taxonomy places the organism in Eukaryota, Metazoa, Chordata, Actinopteri, Cypriniformes, Danionidae. The record is from RefSeq and is a predicted model, not a curated record.